UACGUAGGGGGCAAGCGUUAUCCGGAUUUACUGGGUGUAAAGGGAGCGUAGACGGCCAUGCAAGUCUGAUGUGAAAACCCGGGGCUCAACCCCGGGACUGCAUUUGGAACUGUAUGGCUGGAGUGUCGGAGAGGCAGGCGGAAUUCCUAGUGUAGCGGUGAAAUGCGUAGAUAUUAGGAGGAACACCAGUGGCGGAGGCGGCUUACUGGACGGUAACUGACGCUGAGGCUCGAAAGCGUGGGGAGCAAACAGG
This 253-nucleotide ribosomal RNA is filed under the name uncultured Lachnospiraceae bacterium. Its description in RNAcentral is "partial 16S ribosomal RNA". It matches the Rfam family "Bacterial small subunit ribosomal RNA", at positions 524 to 776 of the family's 1533-position model. The record is from RNAcentral. Lineage: Bacteria; Bacillati; Bacillota; Clostridia; Lachnospirales; Lachnospiraceae.